AUUGAACGCUAGCGGGAUGCCUUACACAUGCAAGUCGCACGGAGUGGCGAACGGGUGAGUAAUGUAUCGGAACGUGCCCAGUAGCGGGGGAUAACUACGCGAAAGCGUAGCUAAUACCGCAUACUAUUGGAGCGGCCGAUAUCGGAUUAGCUAGUUGGUGGGGCAACGGCUCACCAAGGCGUCGAUCCGUAGCCGGUUUGCGAGGACGACCAGCCACAGUGGGAAUGAGACACGGCCCAGAAUCCUACGGGAGGCAGCAGUGGGGAAUUUUGGAAAAUGGGGGAAACCCUGUUCCCGCCAUACCGCGUGUGCGAUGAAGACCUUCGGGUUGUAAAGCAAUUUUGGCAAGAAAGCGGUACCUGCAGAAUAAGCACCGACUAACUACGUGCCAGCAGCCGCGGUAAUUC
RNAcentral lists this ribosomal RNA (407 nucleotides) under uncultured bacterium. RNAcentral's name for it is "partial 16S ribosomal RNA". It matches the Rfam family "Bacterial small subunit ribosomal RNA", at positions 30 to 526 of the family's 1533-position model. The record is from RNAcentral.